RNAcentral lists this ribosomal RNA (443 nucleotides) under uncultured bacterium. RNAcentral describes it as "partial 16S ribosomal RNA". It matches the Rfam family "Bacterial small subunit ribosomal RNA", at positions 338 to 795 of the family's 1533-position model. The record is from RNAcentral.
CCUACGGGUGGCGGCAGUGGGGAAUAUUGGGCAAUGGGCGCAAGCCUGACCCAGCAACGCCGCGUGAAGGAAGAAGGCUUUCGGGUUGUAAACUUCUUUUCUCAGGGACGAAGAAAGUGACGGUACCUGAGGAAUAAGCCACGGCUAACUACGUGCCAGCAGCCGCGGUAAUACGUAGGGGGAACGCGUUAUCCGGAAUUAUUGGGGGUAAAGGGCGUGUAGGCGGGAGCGUAAGUCAGAUGUGAAAGCCCAGGGCUCAACCCUGGGACUGCAUUUGAAACUGUGUUUCUUGAGUGCUGGAGAGGCAGGCGGAAUUCCGGGUGUAGCGGUGAAAUGCGUAGAGAUACGGAGGAACACCAGUGGCGAAGGCGGAUUGCUGGACAGUAACUGACGCUGAGGCGCGAAAGCGUGGGGAGCAAACAGGAUUAGAUACCCCAGUAGUC